Molecule: ribosomal RNA, 378 nt
Filed under: Triticum aestivum (bread wheat)
Lineage: Eukaryota; Viridiplantae; Streptophyta; Magnoliopsida; Poales; Poaceae
Description: partial small subunit ribosomal RNA
Source: RNAcentral
AUGAUAUGCUCCUUUGCAAUCGAGUGGCACUUUGUAGACUGUGUGGCAAGACAAUUUGGAAGAAGACAAGGUAUUCCAAUUGAGGAGAGCAAGGAGGAAACGCUAUCUCUGCAUCGGUUCGAUCGAAGGAACAAUCAGGAUAUAUUGGAUUGGGAAAACAAACACCGUGCGUGGAUACAAAUUUGGGAUCAAAGAGACACGUUAGUGCAAUCAGAGAAUAGACCUCACGAUCAGUCAGCAUAUCAGAAGUAUCAAGUGUGGUAUGCAGAUCGUUACCGGUUAAAGCUAAAGCCUGGUUGGACUCACGAGGAGUGGUCGAGUUGGUGUCUGAAGACCCGGAGACUGCAGAAGGUUAUCAUACCUUCAACACGGCUGUGA